GGCCACCGGGAUGAAGUGUAGUUACUUCAUUGUGCGGUUUUCGGCAUCUCCGUGCGUCAGUUUCCUAGUUUGUAAAAUGGACUUAAUUCGUAUUUCACAUAGUUGAUCGAAGGAUAUAUAAAGAGUUCAGCACAGCGUCUUCCAAAUGGUAACCCUGCUUGUCAGCGGCAGUUACAGCUCUAGAUGUUUGUGUGUCUGUCAGUAUCCUCUCAGGACACAGUGCUUCCCAGACUCUGUCCCACGUCCACAUUUUAUGAUUCAUGUUGAAACCUAAUCCUCGUGAUACUGCUUGGAAGUGGGGCCUUCCAGAGAGGAUUACAUCAUGAUAAUGGAACCAUCAUGAAUGGGAUCAGUGCCCUUAUAAAAGAGGCCCCACAGAGCUCUGUGACCCUUCCUGACAUGUGAGGUUAUAGCCAGAAGACUAAACAAGGAAGGGGGCUCUUAACACUGAAUUUCUUCCCACCUUGAUCUCGGACUUCAGCUUUUAAAACUGGCAUCUCUUUCCUUCUUACUGUGGUCAACACUGAAGAAGGAGGACGUGACUGUUGGGCGGGCAGCUGACAGGGCCUGCUCCUUGUGUGAUAACGGUUCUUCACGAGACCCUCCGCACUCAGAUAACAUCACCGAGGAAGACGCUGUUACAACAGCUGGUGCAGUUGCCAUCCUGAGAAGGAGCAAACCGGGCAGGAGUUGCUUUCUUCCCAUAAAGAAGCACAAAGGCAGAAUAAUCCAAAGAUCCAGACCAGAAGUCUUGUGAUGGUUUCUUAGGGAAGAGACUGCCCCGGGGCGCUCCGGGCCUCUCCCGUCUCCCUGCCGCUCCCAGCUCUCGGCUCUCUCGGUAGAAUUUAGCAGAUUCAUCACUGUGCUCCAUCCCAGGCUCUGCUAUUUUUAGCUCUGUUGACUUCCCAACUAUAGGCAGACAACCAUGCUGUAGGCUAAGCACCUGGCAGGUGGGCAAGGGCGCCCCGGCAGAAGGAGAGGACGGCUCACCCGGGAGAAGGAGGGCCUGGUGUCUCAGGCAGGAAGGAUUUAGAGAAGCCGAGAUCAAGCCUGCGGCCCCCCCCCCCCCCCGGGGGGCUCCAGGCUGGUGACCCCAGGGGCCCGGAUGACCCCUCCUGUCCUCCAGCCCGCGCCAGGCCAGGCCGGCCCGCCGCGCCUUGGAAGUCGCUGCUCUUCGCGCUCCCCUCCACCCCCCACCCUCAGGAGCCCACCUUCACGGCCACCACCACGGCCCCACCACAGCCACGGCCACUCUCCAGCCUUUCCUCUGGCUCGAGCUCUCGUCACACCACUUAGGUUCAUCUGAAGUUUGACAAGAAGGCGGCGGAGUUUGCUUGUUGAUGGACAUCCCACCCCCACCCCCCCACAGUGGGCUCUGACCCACGUCCGCCGGGAGGAGAACCUUGCGGGUCUCCGCCUGGAACGCCGCUGUGUGCCGUGACUUUCAGUAAAUAAAUCGCGCCAUCGGGGCCAGACGGAUCCUCGCCCUCCCCUCACCCGUGAAGCUGCUGUCGUGGCAGCUGGGCCGCUGCUCACUCAGGUCCCCGGUGACUGCCUUUCACUCUGGCCAUCCCGGCCCAUCACCAGCGUCACUGCCCCGAAGCGCGCGCCCAGCUCACCUCGCCGCUGCCGCUUUCGCUCUGUCUGGUUCUUGCCUUCCGUCUGUCCGCGGGGGAGUCGCCUUAGAGCCUCAGCCUGUUUCUGGGAGUCUCAACUGUGCUCUUUUCGUUAAAAAAAGAAAAAAGAAAAAGAAAAUGGGGGGGGCAGCUUUAUUGAGGUAGAAUCGACAAAUAGAAAUUGUAUAUAUUUACUUUGUACAAUGUAAUUUUAAGGUGUGCAGUGUGAUGACUCAAUGUAUGUAUAUGUUUUCCAGUGUGGAGAACACUUAGGAUCUACUCUCAGCAAAUUUCAAGAAGCAUACAAUACAGUGUUAUUUACUGUAGUCACUGUGCUGGACAUCAGAUCCCCAGAACUUACUCUUCUUAUAACUGAGGUUAUACCGACUCCCAGCAGCCGCCAUUCUACUCCAGGCUCCCGGAGGUCCACUUUUUUAGAUUCUACAUAUUAGUGAGGUCAUACAGUAUUUGCCCUUGUGUCUGGCUUAUUUCACUUAGCGUAAUGCCCUCCAGGUUCAUCUACGUUGUGGCAAAUGGGAGGAUUUCCUUCCCUUUCACUCUUUAUCAUAACAGAAACAUGUUCUUCUCCAUCUGAACUUAGCCUCUGAACCUUAGAGACAUAACUAAUGUCCAAAGGCAAUGAUCCAGAAAGGCCCACAAUGGCCACCUUCUGGCUACAGGAGCUCUCGUGAAACCCAGUGCAACCCUGACACUCAGUUUGGCAAUGUGACAACUUUUUCUCCCCUAACAGAAUGGAACAGGUAGUCCUGAAUUUAACCCUCUUACCAGCUGUGGACCUUUGACUACCAUCUCAUGAUCCUUAAGUUACAAACAUCAUGGGAAAAGUCAAAUAUGCCAGGGACAGUUGAAUAGAAAUUUCAGGAAGUUCUCCCAUUUUUAAUGACUCAUUUUUAAUGAGCUGCUAAAUUACCCUGAGAUAACUUUCUUUUGGACUUCCUAUGGCUUAAACUGCUGUUGGGUGGGUAUUCUAUGGAGGGAAAAAAUCCUAACAGGGUGUAGGAUUGACCAAGGGUUUCUUACUUGCACAUAUAA
Molecule: long non-coding RNA, 2669 nt
Organism: Enhydra lutris kenyoni (northern sea otter)
Lineage: Eukaryota; Metazoa; Chordata; Mammalia; Carnivora; Mustelidae
Exons: 5
Source: RefSeq, a predicted model, not a curated record